This is a long non-coding RNA of Equus caballus (horse), 2529 nucleotides long. NCBI's taxonomy places the organism in Eukaryota, Metazoa, Chordata, Mammalia, Perissodactyla, Equidae. The record is from Ensembl.
GUUCAUCUGAGCUGUCAAAGCUUUAAUCAAUAGGUGAUAUUAAAACAACACAACAAUCAAAGUUACUUUCAUGUAUGAUUUUAAGACGUAAGUUCAUGUUUAUGUUGGUGAAAUUGAAAUGGACAUGAGACACUUACUCUUGACGGGGUCUCGUAAAUAUGGAAUGCAGUGAAGUAGGGCCAGGUGCCACUGAGUUUGAAUUGUUCUAGGAUUUGUCUUUUUGAUAGUAGGCAAGUUCUUAGUCUUCCUGAAAUUUAGAGUUGCAAAAAAAUGUACAGUAGACUUAUGCUUCUUACUGUUGGUUUUGUUUCUUUGCUAUUCAGCAUCUGAGCAUCCUUUAUCCUCUUUCUGGCAUGUGGGCAUUGGUCCCACUCUGGAACAUAAAAGGCCAAUUCUCCUGCCCUGUUGUAGCUUUAACAGUAGCUGUCAAACCUUGUCGUCCAUGAGGAUCACAUGGAAAGCUUUUAAAAGCAUAGAUUGCUGGGCCACACCCCCUGCGGGGUUUGAGUAUUUACAUCUCUAACAAGUUCCCAGGUGAUGUGCAUGUUGCUGGUUAGGGAUCACACUUUAAGAACCACUGAACGAGCAUGUGAGUACGUGGCUUAGGUCAAACAAGGAGAUGCCUCUGUCUGGACUUGAGACAAUGAUGCAAACACAAGGUCAGCUGGGAGACUCUCUGUGAGUAGAGUAGACACAUCAGCAAUCCAGCUCUGGUGGUGGACAGUGUACGACAGCAGCUAUCGAACAGGUCUGUGCCCUGAGCUUGGCACAGUAAUCCUGGAGCGUGAGUGAACUGGUGAUGGAAAAAUCAACCAUUGGACCAAUAAACACACUCAUAUAGCUUAUAUUUUCAGUCCUAUUCAUUCGCUGGAACUCUCAAGGAGCAUAAAUUCCUCUCAUUUUGGAGAGGAAAAUUAGAAUCUGAAAAAUCUCUUCUGAGAGCUCGCUUUUUGGUGGUUUUCCUGGUUCCUGUGAGGACCCAUGUGUUUGAAUGAAAUAGCUUGCUGCUGACUGAAUGAUUACUUGUCGUUCUGCUGCUAGUACAUGAAGAAUCUCUCUACACAUGGAACGGUAGGAGCACGUUGCAGUGAAGACUUUGUUAAACAUUCUCCUGGGAAACAUACAUUUUGCGUGAGAAACCAGCAGACAUCCCCUCAAAACGGUCCUUUGACCUCCUGAAAAGACUUCCAUUAUUCCAGUUCACAAAUCAAGACAGGCUAAGCUGUAUCAAGCACUCCUGCUCAUUUGACCCCAAACUUUUGUUGUGGUUUUACUCAAGAGCUAAGACAUGAAAACAUGGAGAGACACAAGUUCUUUUGAAACAGUUAGCAGAGUCUGAGAUGCUACUUGCCAAGUACAAGGUGGAUAUUUAAUUUUUGAAGGUGGUUUGUUUCCUGUAUGUAAACUCUCCACCCUUCAGGGUUGAUUUUGGAAGUCAUGUAAACAGUUCAGAUUUCUCCUUGCCAUUUUCAGGGGUUCAUUUCUGAAGAAUUAAGAAGGGUGUAUUCCCUGUGUGUGUCCUGGGGGUUUCCGUUUCAUCUUCCUUCUCCUUGAACUGUAACGUUAGGCUGUGACCUCCUCUUCUGGUCUUCUUGAGCAUGUCCUGUAUCUCCUCUUCAGAGUCUUCAUGGGUGAGACAGCCUUUGUGCACAAGCUCUGACAGAGGUUCAAGGAGAAAGCUCUCUCUGUUUGGAGAAUGUCCUGUUUGGUGCCAAAAAGAACACAGCCUGGUGUACAGCGAUGAAACACCCUUGUUUGUGUCAGCUCUGCCUUUAAUCUCUUUGAAAAUUGGAAUAUUCACCAAAUCUCUUCAAAGAUCUUUUUCAUUUGUAAAAUGAGGUUAAUUAAACUACACUUUGGUCAGGAUAGGUCUGAUUUUGCAAUGAUAACAAGCAUGCCCCAAAUUUCAGUUGUAUAAAAGGGCAAAGGUUUUUACGCGUUCCACAUGGAUCGGCAGGAGAUCUUGGGUCUGGGUAUUUGCUUAGGGAUUCCGACUCCACACCUCAUCAAAUGCUUCUCAAAGCAGCCAACACGUGCUCCUGGUAUUCAGUUUUUAAACCUCUUCCCGAGACCUUGAGUUUAUUAAGUCCAGCAUUUGCUUCUAAUUUAUUUCAGGUGAGGAGUUACUAAAUGUUUUGCCACUAAAAGGCAGAAUGCCAUCUUUUAGGCCUGCCAUGAACAGUUUCCUCACCAGCCACUGCUUGGUUCCUAAACCAAUGCUAUAUAUUUCAGUUUGGGGCACCAUCCUAAUUAUAUAUGAUAAUUUCUAGAAACAUCAUGUUAGUAUGGAUUAUGCUGUGAUAGCAAAUAACCUCCCCCCAAAAAAGUUAAUGACUUAAAACAAUAAAGGAUUAUUUCUCACUCAAGACACAUUCUCUUAAGCAUUGCUUGGGCAAUUACUCAUUACAGCUCCUCGAGGAUCCAAGUUCAACAAAAUGGAGCCACCACGUCACACAUUGUUGAUUGUUGAUUGCUGCACCAAAGAGUAAAGGGAAUUCCAGGGGGUCUCACACCAGCAAUUAAACACAC